This 6473-nucleotide long non-coding RNA is filed under the name Citrus x clementina. RNAcentral describes it as "Citrus clementina (C. clementina) long non-coding RNA (CCLE_LNC003225)". The record is from RNAcentral. Lineage: Eukaryota; Viridiplantae; Streptophyta; Magnoliopsida; Sapindales; Rutaceae.
UUUAGGAAAAUGGUAUUUGAGAGCACAAAACACAAAGUAUAAAAGCUUCAUGUUCGUACGUGCAACAACACACACACAUGCACACAACAAACAUACACAAAUCUCACCACAUAGCGACAACAUCUCCCUCCUUUCUCCCUCGCCACACAACAACAGCAUCUUCUUGGGUCUCUCUCUCCCGCCUCCACGCAAGGUCAAUCUCAGCUCUAUUUUGUUUCACCUCACAGUAACAGUGAUAGCUUUAUCUGUCUCUCGUCUCAAGCAUCUUGUUCCCUCACUCGCUCGGUCUUGUCAAUUUGUUUCAGUAUAUUUUCCAUUCCUCAAGUUACAGAGGUAUUGUAUACAUUUAUAGAGAGAUUUGCUACGUUAUUUUUGGGCUAUACAGAUUUUUAGUGCUAGAAUAUUCCUGAAAUCUCUCUGAUUUGGUUAACUCCUAUAAUCUCUCUGAUUUAUCUCUUAAUUUACAACUCACGCCAACACUCCCCCUCAAGUGCAAGCAUCCAAAUCUUCAAUGCGCAACUUGUCUAGUGAGUUGUAAAACUCUCUGCUUGAUACGGCCUUUGUAAGAAUAUCCGCUAGUUGAUCUUCGGACUUCACAAAUGGAAACUGAAUUAUUUUAGCUUCGAGAUUUUCUCUAAUAAAAUGUCUAUCAAUCUCCACGUGUUUAGUGCGAUCAUGUUGGAUAGGAUUAUGAGCAAUAGCAAUCACUGCUUUGUUAUCACAAAAGAGUUUCAUUUCACUGAUAGGUGCAAAGCCAAUUUCUGUUAGAAGUCUUCUCAGCCAUAGAAGUUCACAAAGUCCUUUAGCCAUUCCACGGAACUCUGCUUCAGCACUUGACAGUGCCACCACCUUUUGCUUCUUACUCCUCCAUGUAACAAGAUUUCCCCCAACAAACAUGAAGUAGCCUGAGGUGGAUCUUCUGUCUAUGGUGUUCCCUGCCCAAUCUGCGUCUAUAUAACCAUUAACUCUGAGGUGGUUAUUCUUUGCAAACAUAAGUCCUUUUCCUGGAGAGGAUUUUAAGUAUCGCAAAAUCCGUAUUACUGCUUCCAUAUGAUCCUUACUCGGUUGAUGCAUAAAUUGGCUUACAAUACUCACUGCAUAAGCAAUAUCAGGACGGGUAUGCGAGAGGUAAAUCAGUUUCCCAACUAACCUCUGGUAUCUUCCUUUAUCAGUUGGCACUUGAUUUAGAUGUUCUCCGAGCCUGUGAUUCUGAACAAUUGGAGUGUCUGCUGGCUUACACUCCAGCAUUCCAACCUCACAAAGUAAGUCUAGUAUAUAUUUUUGCUGAGAUAAGAAUAUACCUUUCUUUGAUCUAGCAACUUCUAUUCCCAGGAAAUAUUUAAGUCCUCCCAGAUUUUUCAUCUCAAAUUCGAUUGCCAAUUGUUUCUGAAGUUUAUCCAUUUCCUCUGUAUCAUCCCCUGUAAUGAUCAUGUCAUCAAUGUAUACAAUUAAAGCUGUUACCUUGCCCCGUUGAUGCUUUAAAAAUAAUGUAUGAUUUGAAUUGCUUUGGCAGAAGCCAUACUUUUUCAUUGCUUGACUGAACUGUCCAAACCAUGCUCGAGGUGAUUGUUUCAGUCCAUACAAUGCACACUGCAACUUGCAUACUACUUCAGUUUUUGAAGAUGCUGUGUAACCUGGAGGAGUGUCCAUGUAGACUUCCUCUUCAAGAUCACCAUGGAGAAAGGCGUUCUUUACAUCCAACUGAUGUAAUGGCCAAUCAAGGUUGGCUGCGAGUGAUAGCAAAACCCUGACUGUAUUUAGUUUAGCCACUGGUGAAAAAGUUUCUUGGUAAUCUACGCCAUAUGUCUGGGUGUAUCCUUUUGCAACUAGCCUCGCCUUAUAUCGUUCUAUAGAUCCAUCUGCCUUAUGUUUAACUGAGAAGACCCACCUGCACCCGACUGUCUUCUUCUCUUGGGGUAGUGGGACCAAGGUCCAUGUUUGAUUCUUUAAUAGUGCGCCCAUUUCUUCCUCUAUUGCUUUAGUCCACUUAGGAUCCAUUAAUGCCUCCUGAACUGUAGUAGGAAUAUGGCAUGCAGAGAGCUCCUGUGAAAAACUCUUGAGUGGCUCAGGCAAUUUUUCAGUGGAAACAUAGUUGGCAAUUGGAUACCUCGACCUUCUUUCCUCCAUUUCUGGGGAGUAUCUGUUUGGUGGUUUGCCCCGGUUUUGCCUGAAAGGUAAGUUAUACCCAGUAUCUAUAGCAUUGAUAAUUGAGGGUGUGCCAAUAUUUAGGGAUGGCAAUGGGGAGGGGAGGGGAGGGGACCAAUCUCCCCAUACCCAUCCCCGAUGUUUUGCAUAUGUCCCCGUCCCCUCCCCGUCCCCGUCAAAAUAGCUUGAGAGAAUCCUCAUCCCCUCCCCGAAUAAUAACAGAGGAUCCCCGAGGGUCCCCGGUCCCCGAAUAAUUAAUAGUCUAAUACAUUUUUUUAUUUUCGAUUUUAAAUUAAUCAUAUUAAAAUAAACUCAUACCGCUAUUGUAAGCUCGUAACCAACUUUGACAGCACAUUAAGGCCUCCAAUGUGCUUGGAUGAAGUUUGUUAUGGUAUGAGCUCACAACUCUACCACUAGUGUUAAAAGCUGAUUCAGAAGCAACUGUUGUAAUUGGAAUUGCCAAAAUAUCUCUAGCAAUUCGAGCUAAUGUAGGAUACCUAUUAGCAUUUGUCUUCCACCAACUCAAAAUAUUAAAAUCUUCCAUCCGAGAUAUAACUUUCUCAUCUAAAUAUGAAUCUAAUUCAUCUACAACAACUGCACAAUCUCCAUUGUUUACAUAAUCAUCAAAACCUGUCAUCCAUUUGGUUGCUUUCUUAUAAGAAUCCCCUGUAGAUCUAGUAGAAGAACUACUACCAGUAUAAUCAAAGCAAUAAACAGUUGGUGAAAAUUUCAAUUAAUACUCUUCAACUAAUUCCCGGCAAAGGGUGACCACUUUCCCAACAUACAACUAUUUUGAUAUUUAUUAUUUUUAACAAUAUUUAUAAUUUUGUUAUUUAUUUAUUAGUAAUUUUAAAAAUAAAAAUAAAAUUAAAAAUUAAAAUGGGGAAAUGGGUAGGGGAUGGGGAUUCCACCUCAUCCCCGUCCCCUCACCGAAUAAAAAGUUGGGUAAAAAAUUUUCCCCGUCCCCUCCCCGAAAAAAAAAGUGGGUAUAAAAUUAUCCCCGUACCCUCCCCGAAUGGGGAAAAUCCCCGAGGGUACCCAUCCCCGUGGGGAUUUUUGCCAUCCCUACCAAUAUUACUUACCUCAGGAAUAUUCUCAGGAGAUGGGCUUGCAGCGACCAAGAGGGGGGAUUCUUCUUCUUCGAAUGGUAUAGGCUCAACUGCCAAAGGUUCUUCUUCAGAUGGUAUAGGCUCAGCUGCCAGAGGUUCUUCUUCUGAUGGUGUGUCAUUCUGAUCCUCAAACCACUCAAAGGUUAGCCACUUCAGCUCUUCAUCUAGUGUCUCCCCCUGAAGAGGAGUAGUGGAUACCGAGGAAGGGUAAAAAGAAGCGGACUCCAAAAAAGUGACAUCCAUAGUCACAUAAGUACGCUGAGUAGUAGGGUCAUAGCAGCGGUAGCCUUUUUGGUGGGUAGCAUAGCCCAAGAAGAGGCACCGAAUGGCACAAGGGUCAAGUUUGUUACGCUGGUUCUUAUGAAGAUGAACAUACGCCACACAACCAAAGAUGCGGGGUGGGAGCAUGAGGGUAGAAGGUAGAGAGACCGAGGCUGACAAGGAUUGGAGUGGGGUUUGGAAAUGUAAGACCUUGGAUGGAAGGCGGUUGAUCAAAUGGACAGCAGUGGUAACAGCAUCGGGCCAAUGUCUUGUGGGAACAUGUGCGCCGAGAAGGAGGGCUCGGGCAGUUUCAAGAAUAUGUCGAUUUUUCCUUUCAGCUACCCCAUUUUGUUGUGGUGUCUGGGGACAUGAAGUUUCAUGAAUAAGGCCGUGGAGUUGAAAAUAAGAUUGAAAAUGGUGAUUGACAUAUUCUCCACCAUUGUCAGAACGAAGGAUUCGAAUCUGAGCUGAAAACUGAGUCUGAAUCAUAGCAUGAAAUGACUGAAAAACCUUAAAUACUUCAUCCUUAUGUUUCAGCAAAUAUAGCCAGGUCAUGCGUGUGCAAUCAUCAACAAAUAUUACAAACCAACGUACACCAGAGACAAUAGACACGGGGGAUGGUCCCCAUACAUCGGAAUGUAUUAAAGCAAAAGGAAUGUCACUUUUAUUCAUGCUUAAAGAAUAAGUAGCCCUAUGACUCUUGGCUAAAAUACAAGUAUCACAGUUUAACUCAGAAGUUUCUACAUCAGAAAAUAAAUCAGGAAACAAAUGCCUUAGAUACCCGAAUGAUGGAUGUCCCAAACGGCGAUGCCACAACCAAAUCUGUCGAGUCUUGGAACUUAGUGAAGAAGACACGUGAUGAGCUCUCCCCAUACUGAAAUCUUCCAUGUAGUAUAAUCCCCCCCUCUUAGUACCACGCCCAAUUAUCUCCUUGGUGAGAAUAUCCUGUAUAAGACAAAAAUCAGCAAACAUGAGUACCACACAAUUCAGGUCUGUGGUAAUUUGACUCACAGAUAGUAACUUGUGGGAUAAUGAGGGAACAAGUAAAGUGUUGAAUAAUUGAAGAGAGGGUGAUAAUGUCACAGAACCAGCUCCUGUGACAGGAGAGACCACUCCAUUGGCAUUUGCAAUGCUAGUGCGCCGUGGGGAUGAAUCGUGAAAAAGAUUCGCAGGAUCAAAGGUCAUAUGAUCUGUGGCCCCAGAGUCAAGUAACCAAUUAUCACGAUUGGUAUUGCAGUGAGAACUAAUUAAGGCAUGACAGGGAUUACCUGGAUCCACAGAAGAAAAAUUCUGUUGAGGAAUUAGAGAAAGACACGGUUCGACUACUGCUACAGCAGCCUUGCCUAUGCCUGUACUUGUACCAGCAGUGUCUUGUUUCUUUCGGGCUUGGAGUUCAUGCCACCAGUCCGGAUAUCCAUGCAGUUGGAAGCAAUUUUCCCGUGUGUGCUUCAUAUUGCCACAAUGAGUGCAUUUUAAUCCGUCAGAUGAUGAUCGACCUUUAGAGCCAGAUUUUCCAGCAUGCUGUGGGUUCGAUCCAUGGAUCCCAAGCUUGAGGCCUCUCGAAGCAAGCACUGCUCCUAGAGGGGGUUCAUGGUCACCUACGUUCAUCACCAUCUGACGAAGAGCCUCUCUACGGACAUAAGCAUAAGCUUGCUCUAUGGUGGGAAACGGCUGUAGAUGUAGCACGUCACUUCGGAUGUUAUCCAGCUUGUCGUCAAGACCAUCCAAAAAAACGUAGACCCGAUCUUCCUAGAGGAGAUUAUUAUACCUUUGAAUAUCAGCAGGGCAUUCCAUUGGAUUUGGACGUCGAAAAUCAAUUUCACGCCAAAGACCUUGCAAGUCAGUGUAAUAUUUUUCCAGGGAUCCACCUGCUUGACGGAGACGUGAAACACGGCGCCGGAGAUCAUAAACCUGGGAUGUAUCACCACCAUCAAAAUAGGUGGUGGCAGCAGAGUCCCACACUUGUUUGGCUGUGGGAAACCGAAUAAAGUUUCCAAUUAACGUCGGAUCCAUGGAGUUGAUAAGCCAUCCUUUGACAAUGGCGUUGUCGGUGCGCCAUUUGCGAAAGGACGGGUCGGUAAGGGAUGGCGGGGUCAGUUCGCCGUUAAUGUAGCCCAACUUGUCUUUGCCGGAGAUGUACAUCUCGACAACUUGGGACCACAAGCCAUAGUUGGAGCUAUCCAACUUGAUGCCAAUCGGUAGAGCUGCAGGUUCUGAGGUCACGGUUGGGGCCUGGGCUUUGGAUAGAGCUUCGGCCAUCUUGGAGGUGAGUAAUUCAGAGAGAAUCCGGUCGGUGGUGGAUUCCUCUGUCUGGAUUGGUGUUUCGGUGGCUUCCAUAGGUAGAUACGAGGCUAAAUCUUAGGACUGGGCGUGAACAAGGGACCAGGUCGUAACUUGCUCUGAUACCAUGUCAAUUUGUUUCAGUAUAUUUUCCAUUCCUCAAGUUACAGAGGUAUUGUAUACAUUUAUAGAGAGAUUUGCUACGUUAUUUUUGGGCUAUACAGAUUUUUAGUGCUAGAAUAUUCCUGAAAUCUCUCUGAUUUGGUUAACUCCUAUAAUCUCUCUGAUUUAUCUCUUAAUUUACAACUCACGCCAACAGGUCUCACUGUCUCUGUCCCCUAAAUCCACAGUGGUGUUGCUCUCUCAUCCUGUGAUUUCAGCUGCGUUGCUCUCUCUCCCCCAAUACAAUCGGCUUGUUAAGGUUAGUUGCUUCAAUUCAUUACCCUAAUUUUUAAUUUGGUUUUUCAGGGUUUUGAAUUCCAUAAUCCCAAAUUCUAUAUUCUAGAUUAUAUUGCUCAUUGUUUCAAUAGAUUUAAAAAAAAAAAUCGAUUGAGUGUGACAAAUCAAGGAUUUACUCUAUGAUAAUUGUUAGAAGUAUGAACCUGAAUUAGAAUACAAGAACAAACAAUGAUGUAGGUUAUAGCUGUGAAGCAUGUGACAACUUGUCACUUGUAACUC